RNAcentral lists this ribosomal RNA (481 nucleotides) under uncultured bacterium. Its description in RNAcentral is "partial 16S ribosomal RNA". It matches the Rfam family "Bacterial small subunit ribosomal RNA", at positions 28 to 507 of the family's 1533-position model. The record is from RNAcentral.
GAUGAACGCUGGCGGCGUGCUUAACACAUGCAAGUCGAACGAAACACCUUAUUUGAUUUUCUUCGGAACUGAAGAUUUGGUGAUUGAGUGGCGGACGGGUGAGUAACGCGUGGGUAACCUGCCCUGUACAGGGGGAUAACAGUCAGAAAUGACUGCUAAUACCGCAUAAGACCACAGCACCGCAUGGUGCAGGGGUAAAAACUCCGGUGGUACAGGAUGGACCCGCGUCUGAUUAGCUGGUUGGUGAGGUAACGGCUCACCAAGGCGACGAUCAGUAGCCGGCUUGAGAGAGUGAACGGCCACAUUGGGACUGAGACACGGCCCAAACUCCUACGGGAAGCAGCAGUGGGGAAUAUUGCACAAUGGGGGAAACCCUGAUGCAGCGACGCCGCGUGAGUGAAGAAGUACUUCGGUAUGUAAAGCUCUAUCAGCAGGGAAGAAAAUGACGGUACCUGACUAAGAAGCCCCGGCUAACUACGUG